ACAAAAACCAAAAAACCAAUACUCCAACAUAGUAACAUUUCUGAAAACAAAACCAAAAGCAAGCAGCAGCCAGAAUCAUAGGGAGGGGCAACCCUCUGCCCUAGCAGAGCCGCAGAAGACCGACAGCUGACUCUUUGAAUGGAAGAAUAGAAAUCAGAAGGAAAUGGAACUGCCGUCUUUGAUUGCUGAAAGAAAACAACUGCUCAUUGUGUUUUGUAUCUAAGAUUCUCCAAGAAUGAAAAAAAAAAAGAAGUCAAUGUUAUUAAAGGGUGAUUGUAUGCUAAUCUGUACUAACUAGAGGGUAUCUGUUGGAUAGAAGGAAUAUUGUUCCAGAUGAAUGCUGUGAGAUACAGGAAGGAAUGAAGAGCAAGAGAAACAACAGUUAGUUAAAUGUAAGUAGAUAUUGACUGUAUAAAUGAUGAUAAUUGAGCCCUGUGGAGCUUCAAAUAGACAGAGACGGCACAAGAUGGCAGUACAGAUUUCCAAGAAGUGGAAGUUUGUGGCCCAUGGCAUCUUCAAAGCUGAACUGAAUGAGUUGCUCACUCGGGAAUUGCCUGAGGAUGGCUACUCUGGAGUCGAAGUCUGAGUUACACCAACUAGAACAGAAAUCAUUAUUUUAGCCACCAGAACACAGAAUGUUCUUGGUGAGAAGGGUCAUCAGAUCAGAGAGUUGACUGCGGUAGUCCCGAAGAGGUUGGGCUUCCCUGAGGGCAGCGUAGAACUUUAUGCAGAAAAAGUGGCCACAAGAGGUCUGUGUGCCAUUGCUCAGGCAGAGUCUGUACAUUACAGACUCCUAGGAGGGCUUGCUAUGUGAAGGGCCUGCUAUGGUGUGCUUAGGUUCAUUAUGGAGAGCGGGGCCAAGGACUGCAAGGUUGUGGUGUCUGGGAAGCUCUGAAGACAGAGGGCCAAGUCCAUGAAGUUUGUGGAUGGGCUGAUGAUCCACAAGUGGAGAGACCCUGUUAACUACUAUGUUGACACUGCUGUGUGCCAUGUGCUCCUGAGACAAAGUGUGCUGGGCAUCAAAGUGAAGAUCAUGUUGUCCUGGGACCCAAGUGGUAAGAUCUGCUCCAAGAAGCCUCUGCCUGAUCACGUGAGCAUUGUGGAACCUAAAGACGAAAUCUUGCCCACCACCCCCAUCUCAGAGCAGAAGGGUGGGAAGCCAGACGCACCUGCCAUGCCCCAGCCAGUGCCUACAGCGUAACAGGAUCCUGGCAGCUGCAUCUGGAGGCUGGAUGUUGUCCUGCACAAACAGAUGUUUAAUAAAAUCUUGCACAAAGACAAAAAAAAA
This is an RNA transcript of Peromyscus maniculatus bairdii (prairie deer mouse), 1288 nucleotides long. It is a transcript of the gene named small ribosomal subunit protein uS3 pseudogene, with no coding region annotated. The record is from RefSeq and is a predicted model, not a curated record. NCBI's taxonomy places the organism in Eukaryota, Metazoa, Chordata, Mammalia, Rodentia, Cricetidae.